This 251-nucleotide ribosomal RNA is filed under the name uncultured bacterium. RNAcentral describes it as "partial 16S ribosomal RNA". It matches the Rfam family "Bacterial small subunit ribosomal RNA", at positions 107 to 354 of the family's 1533-position model. The record is from RNAcentral.
UGAGUAACGCGUAUGCGACCUGCCCGUUGCAGGGGGAUAAUCGGGAGAAAUCCCGUCUAAUACCGCGUAAUGCUGCGGGGCUGCAUGGCCCUGCGGCCAAAGGGAGCGAUUCCGGCAACGGAUGGGCAUGCGUGACAUUAGCUAGUUGGCGGGGCAACGGCCCACCAAGGCGACGAUGUCUAGGGGUUCUGAGAGGAAGGUCCCCCACACUGGUACUGAGACACGGACCAGACUCCUACGGAAGGCAGCAG